This 254-nucleotide ribosomal RNA is filed under the name uncultured bacterium. RNAcentral's name for it is "partial 16S ribosomal RNA". It matches the Rfam family "Bacterial small subunit ribosomal RNA", at positions 524 to 776 of the family's 1533-position model. The record is from RNAcentral.
GACGGAGGGUGCUAGCGUUGUUCGGAAUCACUGGGCGUAAAGGGCGCGUAGGCGGCCCAUGGAGUCGGCUGGUGAAAGCCCGGGGCUCAACCCCGGAGGUGCGGCCGAGACACAUGGGCUGGAGGCCGGAAGAGGAGGGUGGAAUACCCAGUGUAGAGGUGAAAUUCGUAGAUAUUGGGUGGAACACCGGUGGCGAAAGCGGCUCUCUGGUCCGGACCUGACGCUGAGGCGCGAAAGCGUGGGGAGCAAACAGG